MicroRNA precursor from Notamacropus eugenii (tammar wallaby), 97 nucleotides. Lineage: Eukaryota; Metazoa; Chordata; Mammalia; Diprotodontia; Macropodidae. The record is from Ensembl.
GAGGUUAUCUAAGGAUAGUUAUUUAUGACCACUACUAGCCUCUUCCUUCCUGUUAGGGCUAGAGGCCAAUGACAGUCAGAAAUGGCUCACCCUGGUU